UUCCUAUCCCAAAGACAACACGGUCCGGCUCGAACCUACACACAGACCCAUUCUCACAUAGGCCGUCUCUCCGUGUCGGCGUGUCUCUCCCGCUUUCUGGCACCGACGCUCACACCAACAAGAGGAGGAGCGCGACAAGGCCGCGGAUUGUGAAGAUUGUGGCUGCCUCGCCGUAACUAGGCCACUGUUUCUCCACCGAACAUGGAGAGAUAUUCUGGGCUGAGAUGUUAUUAGUGUAACCCAGUUUGCCCAUCACCAGGUGACUACAGGAGGAGGUACGCCCCACAGGGACACGGGCUUAAAGGACAAUGCAUGCAGAGUUGAGGGGGGGGUGUUGUUGCUGAGAGACAGUGAUGAUUCUGCAUUCCUGAAUCAUUUGAAGACACUCCUAGAUUCCUGAAUCACUGAAGCUCAAGGUUUCCAGACAGGAGAUGUCAAAUUCUUAAAUAUUAAAUUCGAUUCAAAAUGCAA
Molecule: non-coding RNA, 471 nt
Organism: Poecilia reticulata (guppy)
Lineage: Eukaryota; Metazoa; Chordata; Actinopteri; Cyprinodontiformes; Poeciliidae
Source: RefSeq, a predicted model, not a curated record